RNAcentral lists this ribosomal RNA (548 nucleotides) under Pichia bovicola. Its description in RNAcentral is "partial large subunit ribosomal RNA". It matches the Rfam family "Eukaryotic large subunit ribosomal RNA", at positions 87 to 657 of the family's 3401-position model. The record is from RNAcentral. Lineage: Eukaryota; Fungi; Ascomycota; Pichiomycetes; Pichiales; Pichiaceae.
CGGCGAGUGAAGCGGCAAGAGCUCAGAUUUGAAAUCGUGCGCGGUUAGGGCACGAGUUGUAAAUUGCAGGUUGGAGUCUUUGUGGAGGCGUGUGUCUAAGUCCCUUGGAACAGGGCGCCAUUGAGGGUGAGAGCCCCGUGAGACGCGCGCGGAAGCGUUAAGACCCUUCUGACGAGUCGAGUUGUUUGGGAAUGCAGCUCUAAGUGGGUGGUAAAUUCCAUCUAAGGCUAAAUAUUGGCGAGAGACCGAUAGCGAACAAGUACUGUGAAGGAAAGAUGAAAAGCACUUUGAAAAGAGAGUGAAACAGCACGUGAAAUUGUUGAAAGGGAAGGGUAUUGGGCCCGACAUGGGAUUUGCGCACCGCUGCUCCUUGUGGGCGGCGCUCUGGGCUUUUCCUGGGCCAGCAUCGGUUUCCGCUGCAGGAGAAGGGGUGCCGGAAUGUGGCUCUUCGGAGUGUUAUAGCCGGUGCCAGAUGCUGCGUGUGGGGACCGAGGACUGCGGCUUCUGUCUCGGAUGCUGGCACAACGGCGCAAUACCGCCCGUCUUGA